GAUGAACGCUAGCGGCAGGCCUAAUACAUGCAAGUCGAACGGCAGUAGACCCAGCAAUGGUUUUGCGAGAGUGGCGAACGGGUGCGUAACGCGUAUGCAACCUACCUCCAACUGGGGAAUAGCCCUGGGAAACCGGGAUUAAUACCGCAUAAGAUGGUAGAACCGCAUGGUUCAGCCAUUAAAGUUUUNGCGGUUGGAGAUGGGCAUGCGUGCCAUUAGCUAGUUGGCGGGGUAAUAGCCCACCAAGGCGACGAUGGCUAGGGGUUCUGAGAGGAUGAUNCCCCCACACUGGUACUGAGAUACGGACCAGACUCCUACGGGAGGCAGCAGUAGGGAAUAUUGGUCAAUGGACGAAAGUCUGAACCAGCCAUGCCGCGUGCAGGAGGAAGGCGCUCUGCGAUGUAAACUGCUUUUGUACGGGAGAUAGCCGUUGCG
Molecule: ribosomal RNA, 435 nt
Filed under: uncultured bacterium
Lineage: Bacteria
Description: bacterial SSU rRNA
Rfam family: Bacterial small subunit ribosomal RNA
Source: RNAcentral